AAAUGAAUAGACGGGGACCCGCACAAGCGGUGGAGCAUGUGGUUUAAUUCGAAGCAACGCGAAGAACCUUACCAAGUCUUGACAUCCCAUUGACAGCAUAUGUAAUGUAUGUUUCCUUCGGGACAAUGGUGACAGGUGGUGCAUGGUUGUCGUCAGCUCGUGUCGUGAGAUGUUGGGUUAAGUCCCGCAACGAGCGCAACCCUUAUCUUUAGUAGCCAGCAUUUCGGAUGGGCACUCUAGAGAGACUGCCAGGGAUAACCUGGAGGAAGGUGGGGAUGACGUCAAAUCAUCAUGCCCCUUAUGACUUGGGCUACACACGUGCUACAAUGGCGUAAACAAAGGGAAGCGAAGCCGUGAGGUGAAGCCAAUCCCAUAAAUAACGUCUCAGUUCGGAUUGUAGUCUGCAACUCGACUACAUGAAGCUGGAAUCGCUAGUAAUCGCAAAUCAGAAUGUUGCGGUGAAUACGUUCCCGGGUCUUGUACACACCGCCCGU
Molecule: ribosomal RNA, 494 nt
Filed under: uncultured bacterium
Lineage: Bacteria
Description: bacterial SSU rRNA
Rfam family: Bacterial small subunit ribosomal RNA
Source: RNAcentral